CCUGAGCUAUGCAUAAGCCCUUUGACCACGCAUGGAGAAUUUUACCACCCAGAGACACGCGAGUGGCCCUGUGCAAGUUUCAACUGCGCGGGGGCGGGGAAUUCCGCAGACAGGAUUCGAGAAUUUAUGUCUUGUGUGGUAACAUUUCAGCCGGUGGGCGGCGGGGAUUAGGCGUGAAGCGGUUCAGCAGGCAGAGGUUCUCCGACGCCCUCCGGCGAAGCCACCUGUUGAUGCUUUUGACUUUCUGUCCUUGUUCCUCGUCCCAUCUGGAGCAUUUCCAAUUCUGGUUUUGCGGAGCAGCAGGUCUGAGCUUGUCCGGCGAGGGUGGGAGUUGGUCCCGGCGGAGAUCCAGUGGGAAGAGCCGGCGGCUGCCCGGGCGUCUCCUUGAGCCUCCAGAGGACUCACAACACUCCGGGGCAUGUUGCUCUUUCAAAUACCAGGAAUGGACUCUGGGGAAUGGGGCACCCUUGAAGUCUGAUUAUUUCUUCCCUGUAGAGCCCCAGGGGCUAAUUAAACUCGUGUUUAUGG
This 528-nucleotide small RNA is filed under the name Pongo abelii (Sumatran orangutan). Its description in RNAcentral is "processed transcript". Lineage: Eukaryota; Metazoa; Chordata; Mammalia; Primates; Hominidae. The record is from RNAcentral.